Molecule: ribosomal RNA, 429 nt
Filed under: uncultured archaeon
Lineage: Archaea
Description: bacterial SSU rRNA
Rfam family: Archaeal small subunit ribosomal RNA
Source: RNAcentral
UACCUGCAGCUCAAGUGGUGACCAUUAUUAUUGGGCCUAAAACGUCCGUAGCCGGCUUAGUAAAUGCCUGGGUAAAUCGUGUAGCUUAACUAUACGAAUUCCGGGUAGACUGUUAAGCUUGAGACCGGGAGAAGCUAGAGGUACUCCUGGGGUAGAGGUGAAAUUCUGUAAUCCUAGGGGGACCACCAGUGGCGAAGGCGUCUAGCUAGAACGGAUCUGACGGUGAGGGACGAAGCCCUGGGGCACAAACCGGAUUAGAUACCCGGGUAGUCCAGGGUGUAAACGCUGCUUGCUUGAUGUUAGUUGGGCUCCGAGCCCAACUAGUGUCGGAGAGAAGUUGUUAAGCAAGCUGCCUGGGAAGUACGGUCGCAAGGCUGAAACUUAAAGGAAUUGGCGGGGGAGCACAGCAACGGGUGGAGCGUGCGGUUU